AAUGGGCGCAAGCCUGAUCCAGCCAUGCCGCGUGAGUGAAGAAGGCCUUCGGGUUGUAAAGCUCUUUCGGUGGGGAAGAAAUCGCAUUCUUUAAUAGAGGGUGUGGAUGACGGUACCCGCACAAGAAGCACCGGCUAACUACGUGCCAGCAGCCGCGGUAAUACGUAGGGUGCGAGCGUUAAUCGGAAUUACUGGGCGUAAAGCGUGCGCAGGCGGUUAUAUAAGUCAGAUGUGAAAUCCCCGGGCUCAACCUGGGAACUGCAUUUGAGACUGUAUGGCUAGAGUGUGGCAGAGGGGGGUGGAAUUCCACGUGUAGCAGUGAAAUGCGUAGAGAUGUGGAGGAACACCGAUGGCGAAGGCAGCCCCCUGGGCCAAGACUGACGCUCAUGCACGAAAGCGUGGGGAGCAAA
RNAcentral lists this ribosomal RNA (410 nucleotides) under uncultured bacterium. Its description in RNAcentral is "bacterial SSU rRNA". It matches the Rfam family "Bacterial small subunit ribosomal RNA", at positions 370 to 772 of the family's 1533-position model. The record is from RNAcentral.